GAGUUUGAUCAUGGCUCAGGAUGAACGCUGGCUACAGGCUUAACACAUGCAAGUCGAGGGGAAACGACGGGGAAGCUUGCUUCCCCGGGCGUCGACCGGCGCACGGGUGAGUAACGCGUAUCCAACCUGCCUCUGACUGAGGGAUAACCCGUCGAAAGUCGGCCUAAUACCUCAUGGCAUCGUCUGCGGGCAUCCAACGACGAUUAAAGAUUUCAUCGGUCAGGGAUGGGGAUGCGUCUGAUUAGCUUGUUGGCGGGGUAACGGCCCACCAAGGCUACGAUCAGUAGGGGUUCUGAGAGGAAGGUCCCCCACAUUGGAACUGAGACACGGUCCAAACUCCUACGGGAGGCAGCAGUGAGGAAUAUUGGUCAAUGGGCGAGAGCCUGAACCAGCCAAGUAGCGUGCAGGAUGACGGCCCUAUGGGUUGUAAACUGCUUUUAUGCGGGGAUAAAGUGAGGGACGUGUCCUUCAUUGCAGGUACCGCAUGAAUAAGGACCGGCUAAUUCCGUGCCAGCAGCCGCGGUAAUACGGAAGGUCCGGGCGUUAUCCGGAUUUAUUGGGUUUAAAGGGAGCGUAGGCCGUGGAUUAAGCGUGUUGUGAAAUGCAGGUGCUCAACGUCUGCACUGCAGCGCGAACUGGUCCACUUGAGUGUGCGCAACGCAGGCGGAAUUCGUCGUGUAGCGGUGAAAUGCUUAGAUAUGACGAAGAACUCCGAUUGCGAAGGCAGCUUGCGGGAGCACAACUGACGCUGAAGCUCGAAAGUGCGGGUAUCGAACAGGAUUAGAUACCCUGGUAGUCCGCACGGUAAACGAUGGAUGCCCGUUGUCAGGCUGUUUCAGCCUGGUGACCAAGCGAAAGCAUUAAGCAUCCCACCUGGGGAGUACGCCGGCAACGGUGAAACUCAAAGGAAUUGACGGGGGCCCGCACAAGCGGAGGAACAUGUGGUUUAAUUCGAUGAUACGCGAGGAACCUUACCCGGGCUUGAAUUGCAGACGAAGGCUUCAGAGAUGAAGCGGCCCUUCGGGGCGUCUGUGAAGGUGCUGCAUGGUUGUCGUCAGCUCGUGCCGUGAGGUGUCGGCUUAAGUGCCAUAACGAGCGCAACCCCUUUCUUCAGUUGCCAUCAGGUGAUGCUGGGCACUCUGUAGACACUGCCACCGCAAGGUGUGAGGAAGGUGGGGAUGACGUCAAAUCAGCACGGCCCUUACGUCCGGGGCUACACACGUGUUACGAAUGGCCGGUACAGAGAGUUGAUUUUGUGCAAACACGAUCUAAUCCUUAAAUCCGGUCCCGGUUCGGACUGGGGUCUGCGAACCCGGACCCCGCGAAAGCUGGAUUCGCUAGUGAAUCGCGCGUUCGAGCCGUGGCGCGGUGAAAUGACGUUUCCCGGGCCUUGUGAGCACCGCCC
This 1405-nucleotide ribosomal RNA is filed under the name uncultured bacterium. Its description in RNAcentral is "bacterial SSU rRNA". It matches the Rfam family "Bacterial small subunit ribosomal RNA". The record is from RNAcentral.